GUGCUCGCUUCAGCAGCACAUAGACUAAAAUUGGAAAGACAUGGCCCCUGCACCAGGAUGACACGCAAAUCCGUGAAGCGUUCCAUAUUUUU
This 92-nucleotide small nuclear RNA is filed under the name Microtus ochrogaster (prairie vole). The record is from RNAcentral. Lineage: Eukaryota; Metazoa; Chordata; Mammalia; Rodentia; Cricetidae.